This 282-nucleotide unclassified non-coding RNA is filed under the name Glomus sp. Its description in RNAcentral is "partial contains 5.8S ribosomal RNA and internal transcribed spacer 2". The stretch from base 1 to 72 matches the Rfam family "5.8S ribosomal RNA", at positions 84 to 154 of the family's 154-position model. The record is from RNAcentral. Lineage: Eukaryota; Fungi; Glomeromycota; Glomeromycetes; Glomerales; Glomeraceae.
GUGAAUCAUCGAAUCUUUGAACGCAAAUUGCACUCUCCGGUUUUCCGGGAGAGUAUGCCUGUUUGAGGGUCAGCCUAAAAAAAAUCGACAUUGUUGCGGUUAUUGAAUGGUGACUUGCGUCGGAGAUUGGGUUAUCUUAAACCUUUUUUUUUUUUUUUGGUUUAAGCGACUUAAAAUUUUUCUUCACGAUUCAAUUAACGUUUCUAAGAUUUUUAUGUCUUAUACGUUUAAGGUUUAUCGAUUUUUUAGUAGACGUGACCGUCUCAUCGUAUCGCGUCCAUA